GAGUUUGAUCCUGGCUCGGACGAACGCUGGCGGCGUGCCUAAUACAUGCAAGUCGAGCGCGUGAAAUCAAACAGAUCCUUCGGGUGACGUUUGGUGGAUCGAGCGGCGGACGGGUGAGUAACACGUGGGCAACCUGCCUGUAAGACUGGGAUAACUCCGGGAAACCGGGGCUAAUACCGGAUAACUUCUGAUCUAACAUGAGAUCAGGAUAAAAGAUGGUUUCGGCUAUCACUUACAGAUGGGCCCGCGGCGCAUUAGCUAGUUGGUGAGGUAACGGCUCACCAAGGCGACGAUGCGUAGCCGACCUUAGAGGGUGAUCGGCCACACUGGGACUGAGACACGGCCCAGACUCCUACGGGAGGCAGCAGUAGGGAAUCUUCCGCAAUGGACGAAAGUCUGACGGAGCAACGCCGCGUGAGUGAUGAAGGUUUUCGGAUCGUAAAGCUCUGUUGUUAGGGAAGAACAAGUACGAGAGUAACUGCUCGUACCUUGACGGUACCUAACCAGAAAGCCACGGCUAACUACGUGCCAGCAGCCGCGGUAAUACGUAGGUGGCAAGCGUUGUCCGGAAUUAUUGGGCGUAAAGCGCGCGCAGGCGGUUUCUUAAGUCUGAUGUGAAAGCCCACGGCUCAACCGUGGAGGGUCAUUGGAAACUGGGGAACUUGAGUGCAGAAGAGGAGAGCGGAAUUCCACGUGUAGCGGUGAAAUGCGUAGAGAUGUGGAGGGACACCAGUGGCGAAGGCGGCUCUCUGGUCUGUAACUGACGCUGAGGCGCGAAAGCGUGGGGAGCAAACAGGAUUAGAUACCCUGGUAGUCCACGCCGUAAACGAUGAGUGCUAAGUGUUAGAGGGUUUCCGCCCUUUAGUGCUGAAGUUAACGCAUUAAGCGCUCCGCCUGGGGAGUACGACCGCAAGGUUGAAACUCAAAGGAAUUGACGGGGGCCCGCACAAGCGGUGGAGCAUGUGGUUCAAUUCGAAGCAACGCGAAGAACCUUACCAGGUCUUGACAUCCUCUGACAAUCCUAGAGAUAGGACGUUCCCUUCGGGGACAGAGUGACAGGUGGUGCAUGGUUGUCGUCAGCUCGUGUCGUGAGAUGUUGGGUUAAGUCCCGCAACGAGCGCAACCCUUGAUCUUAGUUGCCAGCAUUAAGUUGGGCACUCUAAGGUGACUGCCGGUGACAAACCGGAGGAAGGUGGGGAUGACGUCAAAUCAUCAUGCCCCUUAUGACCUGGGCUACACACGUGCUACAAUGGAUGGUACAAAGGGCAGCAAGACCGCGAGGUUUAGCCAAUCCCAUAAAACCAUUCUCAGUUCGGAUUGUAGGCUGCAACUCGCCUACAUGAAGCUGGAAUCGCUAGUAAUCGCGGAUCAGCAUGCCGCGGUGAAUACGUUCCCGGGCCUUGUACACACCGCCCGUCACACCACGAGAGUUUGUAACACCCGAAGUCGGUGGGGUAACCUUUAUGGAGCCAGCCGCCUAAGGUGGGACAGAUGAUUGGGGGAAGUCGAACAAGGUAGCCGGACUGCAGGCUGCAGCUG
RNAcentral lists this ribosomal RNA (1539 nucleotides) under uncultured bacterium. RNAcentral describes it as "bacterial SSU rRNA". It matches the Rfam family "Bacterial small subunit ribosomal RNA". The record is from RNAcentral.